Molecule: unclassified non-coding RNA, 358 nt
Filed under: soil metagenome
Description: partial contains 5.8S ribosomal RNA, internal transcribed spacer 2, and large subunit ribosomal RNA
Rfam family: 5.8S ribosomal RNA (bases 1-120)
Source: RNAcentral
GAUGAAGAACGCAGCGAAAUGCGAUAAGUAAUGUGAAUUGCAGAAUUCAGUGAAUCAUCGAAUCUUUGAACGCACAUUGCGCCCGUCAGUAUUCUGGCGGGCAUACCUGUUCGAGCGUCAUUACGCCCCUCAAGUCCCCUGUGGACUUGGUGUUGGGGAUCGGCGAGGCUGGUUUUCCAGCACAGCCGUCCCUUAAAUUAAUUGGCGGUCUCGCCGUGGCCCUCCUCUGCGCAGUAGUAAAACACUCGCAACAGGAGCCCGGCGCGGUCCACUGCCGUAAAACCCCCCAACUUUUUAUAGUUGACCUCGAAUCAGGUAGGACUACCCGCUGAACUUAAGCAUAUCAAUAAGCGGAGGA